AUUGAACGCUGGCGGCAGGCCUAACACAUGCAAGUCGAGCGGAUGAAGGGAGCUUGCUCCUGGAUUCAGCGGCGGACGGGUGAGUAAUACCUAGGAAUCUGCCUGGUAGUGGGGGAUAACGUCCGGAAACGGGCGCUAAUACCGCAUACGUCCUGAGGGAGAAAGUGGGGGAUCUUCGGACCUCACGCUAUCAGAUGAGCCUAGGUCGGAUUAGCUAGUUGGUGGGGUAAAGGCCUACCAAGGCGACGAUCCGUAUCUGGUCUGAGAGGAUGAUCAGUCACACUGGAACUGAGACACGGUCCAGACUCCUACGGGAGGCAGCAGUGGGGAAUAUUGGACAAUGGGCGAAAGCCUGAUCCAGCCAUGCCGCGUGUGUGAAGAAGGUCUUCGGAUUGUAAAGCACUUUAAGUUGGGAGGAAGGGCAGUAAGUUAAUACCUUGCUGUUUUGACGUUACCAACAGAAUAAGCACCGGCUAACUUCGUG
RNAcentral lists this ribosomal RNA (484 nucleotides) under uncultured bacterium. Its description in RNAcentral is "partial 16S ribosomal RNA". It matches the Rfam family "Bacterial small subunit ribosomal RNA", at positions 30 to 507 of the family's 1533-position model. The record is from RNAcentral.